GCGGAGGAAAAGAAAAUAACAAUGAUUUCCUUAGUAACGGCGAGUGAACAGGAAAGAGCUCAAAGUUGGAACCCGUUUGGUUUAGCCAAACUGGAUUGUAAACUGUAGAAGUGUUUUCCUGGCACGCCUGAUGAAAAAGUCCAUUGGAACAUGGUGACAUAGAGGGUGAGAGCCCCGUAUUUCGUCAGAGCUGUUGUCUUUUGUGAUACACUUUCAAAGAGUCAGGUUGUUUGGGAAUGCAGCCUAAAUUGGGUGGUAAAUCUCACCUAAAGCUAAAUAUUGGCAAAAGACCGAUAGCGAACAAGUACCGUGAGGGAAAGAUGAAAAGAACUUUGAAAAGAGAGUUAAACAGUAUGUGAAAUUGUUAAAAGGGAACCGUUUGGAGCCAGACUGGCUUGAUUGUAAUCAAUCUAGAUUUCGAUCUGGAUGCACUUGCAGUCUAUGCCUGCCAACGACAAUUCAUUCUGGAGGAAAAAACUAGGAGGAAUGUGGCCCCUCGGGGUGUUAUAGCCUCUUAGAAAAUACUCUGGGUUGGAUUGAGGAACGCAGUGGAUGCUAUUUGGCGAAGUUGCUGAGUGCUUUUACUGGUACGUGCUAGAAUUUCUGCUUCGGGUGGUGCUAGUAUUUACCGGUGAAACUCGCUUGGUAAUCUUUUUAUCCGCUUAGGUUGUUGGCUUAAUGACUCUAAAUGAC
Molecule: ribosomal RNA, 693 nt
Filed under: Gilbertella persicaria var. persicaria
Lineage: Eukaryota; Fungi; Mucoromycota; Mucoromycetes; Mucorales; Choanephoraceae
Description: eukaryotic LSU rRNA
Rfam family: Eukaryotic large subunit ribosomal RNA
Source: RNAcentral